Molecule: ribosomal RNA, 495 nt
Filed under: uncultured bacterium
Lineage: Bacteria
Description: partial 16S ribosomal RNA
Rfam family: Bacterial small subunit ribosomal RNA
Source: RNAcentral
UGAACGCUGGCGGCGUGCCUAAUACAUGCAAGUCGAGCGAACAGAUGAGGAGCUUGCUCCUCUGACGUUAGCGGCGGACGGGUGAGUAACACGUGGAUAACCUACCUAUAAGACUGGGAUAACUUCGGGAAACCGGAGCUAAUACCGGAUAAUAUAUUGAACCGCAUGGUUCCAUAGUGAAAGACGGUUUUGCUGUCACUUAUAGAUGGAUCCGCGCCGCAUUAGCUAGUUGGUAAGGUAACGGCUUACCAAGGCAACGAUGCGUAGCCGACCUGAGAGGGUGAUCGGCCACACUGGAACUGAGACACGGUCCAGACUCCUACGGGAGGCAGCAGUAGGGAAUCUUCCGCAAUGGGCGAAAGCCUGACGGAGCAACGCCGCGUGAGUGAUGAAGGUCUUCGGAUCGUAAAACUCUGUUAUUAGGGAAGAACAAAUGUGUAAGUAACUAUGCACGUCUUGACGGUACCUAAUCAGAAAGCCACGGCUAACUACGUG